RNAcentral lists this ribosomal RNA (2900 nucleotides) under Klebsiella pneumoniae. RNAcentral's name for it is "bacterial LSU rRNA". It matches the Rfam family "Bacterial large subunit ribosomal RNA". The record is from RNAcentral. Lineage: Bacteria; Pseudomonadati; Pseudomonadota; Gammaproteobacteria; Enterobacterales; Enterobacteriaceae.
UUAAGCGACUAAGCGUACACGGUGGAUGCCCUGGCAGUCAGAGGCGAUGAAGGACGUGCUAAUCUGCGAAAAGCGUCGGUAAGGUGAUAUGAACCGUUAUAACCGGCGAUGUCCGAAUGGGGAAACCCAGUGCAAUUCGUUGCACUAUCGUUAACUGAAUACAUAGGUUAACGAGGCGAACCGGGGGAACUGAAACAUCUAAGUACCCCGAGGAAAAGAAAUCAACCGAGAUUCCCCCAGUAGCGGCGAGCGAACGGGGAGCAGCCCAGAGUCUGAAUCAGCUUGUGUGUUAGUGGAACGGUCUGGAAAGUCCGACGGUACAGGGUGAUAGUCCCGUACACCAAAAUGCACAGGUUGUGAACUCGAAGAGUAGGGCGGGACACGUGGUAUCCUGUCUGAAUAUGGGGGGACCAUCCUCCAAGGCUAAAUACUCCUGACUGACCGAUAGUGAACCAGUACCGUGAGGGAAAGGCGAAAAGAACCCCGGCGAGGGGAGUGAAAAAGAACCUGAAACCGUGUACGUACAAGCAGUGGGAGCACCUUCGGGUGUGACUGCGUACCUUUUGUAUAAUGGGUCAGCGACUUAUAUUCUGUAGCAAGGUUAACCGUAUAGGGGAGCCGCAGGGAAACCGAGUCUUAACUGGGCGUUAAGUUGCAGGGUAUAGACCCGAAACCCGGUGAUCUAGCCAUGGGCAGGUUGAAGGUUGGGUAACACUAACUGGAGGACCGAACCGACUAAUGUUGAAAAAUUAGCGGAUGACUUGUGGCUGGGGGUGAAAGGCCAAUCAAACCGGGAGAUAGCUGGUUCUCCCCGAAAGCUAUUUAGGUAGCGCCUCGUGAACUCAUCUUCGGGGGUAGAGCACUGUUUCGGCUAGGGGGUCAUCCCGACUUACCAACCCGAUGCAAACUACGAAUACCGAAGAAUGUUAUCACGGGAGACACACGGCGGGUGCUAACGUCCGUCGUGAAGAGGGAAACAACCCAGACCGCCAGCUAAGGUCCCAAAGUCAUGGUUAAGUGGGAAACGAUGUGGGAAGGCACAGACAGCCAGGAUGUUGGCUUAGAAGCAGCCAUCAUUUAAAGAAAGCGUAAUAGCUCACUGGUCGAGUCGGCCUGCGCGGAAGAUGUAACGGGGCUAAACCAUGCACCGAAGCUGCGGCAGCGACACUAUGUGUUGUUGGGUAGGGGAGCGUUCUGUAAGCCUGCGAAGGUGACCUGUGAGGGUUGCUGGAGGUAUCAGAAGUGCGAAUGCUGACAUAAGUAACGAUAAAGCGGGUGAAAAGCCCGCUCGCCGGAAGACCAAGGGUUCCUGUCCAACGUUAAUCGGGGCAGGGUGAGUCGACCCCUAAGGCGAGGCCGAAAGGCGUAGUCGAUGGGAAACAGGUUAAUAUUCCUGUACUUGGUGUUACUGCGAAGGGGGGACGGAGAAGGCUAUGUUAGCCGGGCGACGGUUGUCCCGGUUUAAGCAUGUAGGCUGGUUGUCCAGGCAAAUCCGGAUAAUCAAGGCUGAGGUGUGAUGACGAGGCACUACGGUGCUGAAGUAACAAAUGCCCUGCUUCCAGGAAAAGCCUCUAAGCAUCAGGUAACAUCAAAUCGUACCCCAAACCGACACAGGUGGUCAGGUAGAGAAUACCAAGGCGCUUGAGAGAACUCGGGUGAAGGAACUAGGCAAAAUGGUGCCGUAACUUCGGGAGAAGGCACGCUGGUGUGUAGGUGAAGUCCCUGCGGAUGGAGCUGAGACCAGUCGAAGAUACCAGCUGGCUGCAACUGUUUAUUAAAAACACAGCACUGUGCAAACACGAAAGUGGACGUAUACGGUGUGACGCCUGCCCGGUGCCGGAAGGUUAAUUGAUGGGGUUAUCCGUAAGGAGAAGCUCUUGAUCGAAGCCCCGGUAAACGGCGGCCGUAACUAUAACGGUCCUAAGGUAGCGAAAUUCCUUGUCGGGUAAGUUCCGACCUGCACGAAUGGCGUAAUGAUGGCCAGGCUGUCUCCACCCGAGACUCAGUGAAAUUGAACUCGCUGUGAAGAUGCAGUGUACCCGCGGCAAGACGGAAAGACCCCGUGAACCUUUACUAUAGCUUGACACUGAACAUUGAGCCUUGAUGUGUAGGAUAGGUGGGAGGCUUUGAAGCGUGGACGCCAGUCUGCGUGGAGCCAACCUUGAAAUACCACCCUUUAAUGUUUGAUGUUCUAACGUUGGCCCCUGACCGGGGUUGCGGACAGUGUCUGGUGGGUAGUUUGACUGGGGCGGUCUCCUCCCAAAGCGUAACGGAGGAGCACGAAGGUUAGCUAAUCCUGGUCGGACAUCAGGAGGUUAGUGCAAUGGCAUAAGCUAGCUUGACUGCGAGCGUGACGGCGCGAGCAGGUGCGAAAGCAGGUCAUAGUGAUCCGGUGGUUCUGAAUGGAAGGGCCAUCGCUCAACGGAUAAAAGGUACUCCGGGGAUAACAGGCUGAUACCGCCCAAGAGUUCAUAUCGACGGCGGUGUUUGGCACCUCGAUGUCGGCUCAUCACAUCCUGGGGCUGAAGUAGGUCCCAAGGGUAUGGCUGUUCGCCAUUUAAAGUGGUACGCGAGCUGGGUUUAGAACGUCGUGAGACAGUUCGGUCCCUAUCUGCCGUGGGCGCUGGAGAAUUGAGGGGGGCUGCUCCUAGUACGAGAGGACCGGAGUGGACGCAUCACUGGUGUUCGGGUUGUCAUGCCAAUGGCACUGCCCGGUAGCUAAAUGCGGAAGAGAUAAGUGCUGAAAGCAUCUAAGCACGAAACUUGCCCCGAGAUGAGUUCUCCCUGAGACUUUAAGUCUCCUGAAGGAACGUUGAAGACGACGACGUUGAUAGGCCGGGUGUGUAAGCGCAGCGAUGGUUUGAGCUAACCGGUACUAAUGAACCGUGAGGCUUAACCUU